Molecule: transfer RNA, 108 nt
Filed under: Ceratobasidium sp. AG-Ba
Lineage: Eukaryota; Fungi; Basidiomycota; Agaricomycetes; Cantharellales; Ceratobasidiaceae
Rfam family: tRNA
About the family: Transfer RNA (tRNA) molecules are approximately 80 nucleotides in length. Their secondary structure includes four short double-helical elements and three loops (D, anti-codon, and T loops).
Source: Rfam by way of RNAcentral
AGUCCUAUAGCUCAGUGGUAGAGCAAUGUACUUAUGGGAAACCUUUAAACGUGAUUGGCUCAUUCAUGUGAGAUGCAUGGGUCGCGAGUUCAACCCUCGCUAGGACUA